UACGAGGGCCCCAAGCGUUAUCCGGAUUUAUUGGGCGUAAAGAGUGUGUAGGCGGUUUAUAACAUCUCCUGUUAAAUCUCAAGGCUCAACCUUUAGGCCGCGGGAGAUAUGGAUAAACUAGAGUUCGGAAGAGGCAAGUGGAAUUGCUGGUGUAGGGGUUAAAUCCGUUAAUAUCAGCAGGAACACCAAAAGCGAAGGCAGCUUGCUGGGACGACACUGACGCUGAGACACGAAAGCGUGGGGAGCGAAUGGG
This 253-nucleotide ribosomal RNA is filed under the name uncultured prokaryote. Its description in RNAcentral is "partial 16S ribosomal RNA". It matches the Rfam family "Bacterial small subunit ribosomal RNA", at positions 524 to 776 of the family's 1533-position model. The record is from RNAcentral.